RNAcentral lists this ribosomal RNA (519 nucleotides) under uncultured bacterium. RNAcentral's name for it is "bacterial SSU rRNA". It matches the Rfam family "Bacterial small subunit ribosomal RNA", at positions 29 to 532 of the family's 1533-position model. The record is from RNAcentral.
AUUGAACGCUGGCGGCAUGCUUUACACAUGCAAGUCGAACGGCAGCGCGGGGGCAACCCUGGCGGCGAGUGGCGAACGGGUGAGUAAUGUAUCGGAACGUAUCCUGUAAUGGGGGAUAACCAGUCGAAAGAUUGGGUAAUACCGCAUACGCACGAGAGUGGAAAGUAGGGGAUCGCAAGACCUUACGUUAUAGGAGCGGCCGAUAUCUGAUUAGCUAGUUGGUGGGGUAAAGGCCUACCAAGGCGACGAUCAGUAGCUGGUCUGAGAGGACGACCAGCCACACUGGGACUGAGACACGGCCCAGACUCCUACGGGAGGCAGCAGUGGGGAAUUUUGGACAAUGGGGGCAACCCUGAUCCAGCCAUGCCGCGUGAGUGAAGAAGGCCUUCGGUUGUAAGACUCUUUCGGUCCGGGAACGGAGAUCGCGCCAGUUAAUAACCUGGUGUGGAGUGACGGUACCGGAAGUAAGAAAGACACCGGACGUAACUAACGUGUCCACGCAGCCGCGGUAACGUGAGU